RNAcentral lists this ribosomal RNA (651 nucleotides) under Geobacillus stearothermophilus. RNAcentral describes it as "bacterial SSU rRNA". It matches the Rfam family "Bacterial small subunit ribosomal RNA", at positions 86 to 720 of the family's 1533-position model. Lineage: Bacteria; Bacillati; Bacillota; Bacilli; Caryophanales; Anoxybacillaceae. The record is from RNAcentral.
AUUCGGUCAGCGGCGGACGGGUGAGUAACACGUGGGCAACCUGCCCGCAAGACCGGGAUAACUCCGGGAAACCGGAGCUAAUACCGGAUAACACCGAAGACCGCAUGGUCUUYGGUUGAAAGGCGGCCUUUGGGCUGUCACUUGCGGAUGGGCCCGCGGCGCAUUAGCUAGUUGGUGAGGUAACGGCUCACCAAGGCGACGAUGCGUAGCCGGCCUGAGAGGGUGACCGGCCACACUGGGACUGAGACACGGCCCAGACUCCUACGGGAGGCAGCAGUAGGGAAUCUUCCGCAAUGGGCGAAAGCCUGACGGAGCGACGCCGCGUGAGCGAAGAAGGCCUUCGGGUCGUAAAGCUCUGUUGUGAGGGACGAAGGAGCGCCGUUCGAAGAGGGCGGCGCGGUGACGGUACCUCACGAGAAAGCCCCGGCUAACUACGUGCCAGCAGCCGCGGUAAUACGUAGGGGGCGAGCGUUGUCCGGAAUUAUUGGGCGUAAAGCGCGCGCAGGCGGUCUCUUAAGUCUGAUGUGAAAGCCCACGGCUCAACCGUGGAGGGUCAUUGGAAACUGGGGGACUUGAGGGCAGGAGAGGAGAGCGGAAUUCCACGUGUAGCGGUGAAAUGCGUAGAGAUGUGGAGGAACACCAGUGGCGAAG